RNAcentral lists this ribosomal RNA (494 nucleotides) under uncultured bacterium. Its description in RNAcentral is "bacterial SSU rRNA". It matches the Rfam family "Bacterial small subunit ribosomal RNA", at positions 903 to 1397 of the family's 1533-position model. The record is from RNAcentral.
AAAGGAAUUGACGGGGGCCCGCACAAGCGGUGGAGCAUGUGGAUUAAUUCGAUGCAACGCGAAGAACCUUACCAGGACUUGACAUGGAGACGAUCGGUAUAGAGAUAUACCUUCCCUUCGGGGCGGCUCACACAGAUGGUGCAUGGUUGUCGUCAGCUCGUGUCGUGAGAUGUUGGGUUAAGUCCCGCAACGAGCGCAACCCUUAUCUUUAGUUUCCAGCACGUAAUGGUGGGCACGCUAGAGAGACUGCCGUGGACAACACGGAGGAAGGUGGGGAUGAUGUCAAAUCAUCAUGCCUCUUACGUCCUGGGCUUCACACGUGCUACAAUGGUCUUUACAAAGUGAAGCAAGACAGUAAUGUGGAGCGAACCACAAAAAAAGACCCCAGUUCGGAUUGUAGGCUGCAACUCGCCUGCAUGAAGUUGGAAUCGCUAGUAAUCGCGAAUCAGCAUGUCGCGGUGAAUACGUUCCCGGGCCUUGUACACACCGCCCGU